This 2151-nucleotide long non-coding RNA is filed under the name Gossypium barbadense (sea-island cotton). RNAcentral describes it as "long non-coding RNA (GBAR_LNC015996)". Lineage: Eukaryota; Viridiplantae; Streptophyta; Magnoliopsida; Malvales; Malvaceae. The record is from RNAcentral.
AAAUAAAAAGAAAUAAAAACAAAGCAAAAGAAAGGAAAGAAACAGAAUAGAAGAGACGAAACAGGGGAGAAACAGGGGAGAAAGAAGAAAAAGAAGAAAAUAGGGAAAAUAGGGUUUUUGAAGCUUGAAAUUUAAAUUGGUAAGUCAAAUUAGCCCUUUUCUCUUAAUUCUAAUGUUCUAAAAGCUUUAAAACAAAGUUUUGAUGGAAUUAAGUUGAUAUUUUGUAAGUUCAUAGGUUUUCAAGUAUAGUUUAUGUUGAACAAAAGAGAUGAAUUAGGGAUUAACUUGAAGGAAUUUUAAGUUAGAAUUGAAAAAGGGAUUAAAUUGUAAAAGAAACUAUAAGUUUUAUGUUUUAGGGACUAAAUUGAGGGAAAUUCGAAAUUAGCAAAAUAUGCUGAAAUUUUGAUAGUUAAAUUUUAGUUUGGAUGAAAUUUGAAUAGAAAUAGAGUGUGAAUUGAAUUAGGAAAGUAAGUGAAUUUAGUUAGGAUUAAAUUGAGAAUUAGGAAGAAAUUGAAUAGAAAUUCAAUUAUUUAUUAUAAUUAUAAUUAGUGCUGUAAUUAAUAUUACAAAUUAUUAUUAUUUUCGUAGCUAACAAAGAACCCGAGGCAUCGGCGUCAAAAGGAAAGGAGAAAGUUAUCGAGGACUAAAACGGGAGAAUAACGGUUUGUAUUACUAUAAUUCAAAUUAUUUAUUUUUAAAUGUUAAAUUUUAAUUUAUGUGUCUAGUAAAUGAAAUGUGAGGUAAGUAUUAAUAUUAGUAUUAGUAUUAUUAUUAGUAUUAUUAUUAUUAUUAUUAUUAUUAUGAGUGGGAAUUAAAUUGAAUAGUUGAUAUGAAAUAAUAUUUGAAUUGUUUGUUGAUUGAAAGCGGGAAAUGAAUUUGAAUCGAAUUGUGAAUGGUAUUAAAAAUUGUAUGGAAAUGUAUUGAGUUGUGAAAAUGUGUGAAGUUGUGAAAUAAUUAUUGAUUGAAAGGUGGAAAAAUGAUUGAAUUGAAAAUGUGAAAAAUUGUAAUUGAAUUGAGAAUAUAUGUGAUUUAAAUACCCUAUUAACUAGUCGGGCUGAGUCGGAUAUAGUUGGCAUGCCAUAGGAUUGGAAGAGUUCAGGGAUACUUCGACCUCGAGUCGAUGAGACACUGGGUGUCACUAUAUUUCUUCGGAUAGAUUCGAUGAGGUACUGGGUACCAACUUUCUUCGGCUUUGCCGAUGAGACACUGGGUGUCAACUAUUGCUUCGAACUAUCCGAUGAGGCACUGGGUGCCAUUCUGGUGUGUUUGGUUGGAUCCGUGUAUCCGUCAAAGUCCGAGUUUUGUUAAUAGGGUAAAUGAUGAAAUGAUAAACCGAACGAGUUGGUCAAACGAGCUAUUGAAAUGAUAUGAAAAAGUUGAAUUGUGAAUUGAAAUUAGAAAUGAGAUUGAGAAAUGAACCUAAGGUUCGUGAAUUAUUCAAACUCAAAUUGUGGAUAUACGAUAUUGGUUGAUGAAUUGCUAUUGUUGAAAUAUUUAAUUUAAAUUGUAUAUACGAUUUAUGCAUUACAUGUACAUUAUUGUUAUAAUUUGAAUUAUGGUAAUACCACUGAGUAUGAAUUACUCAGCGUACGGUUGUUUCCGUGCGCAGGUCAAUAGAAGUCAAAGGCCCCGGUUCAGCAUCCAGAUUAAUCCCGGCUUCGGCAAAACUUGGUGAUGUAUUUUUCUUUUGGUAAAGGUGGCAUGUACAUAGAUUGUGUAUAAAGGUUAUUAUGUUUUAUUAUAUAAUGGUUAAAAAUGUUAGUAUUAAAAGUUUAUGGAUUAUAAUGAAAGAAGUCUAUCUAUUUUAUCUAAUUAGUACAUUGUUAAAUUUUAAAUUGAUAUUGUGUAGAUUGAGUUUGAUUAGAAGUAUUUAGAAUAGAAAAUGUGAAUGUGAAAUGAAUUGGUUGAAUUGGUGAUAUUUGGGAACUAUAUGGUUUUAAUUUGCAGGGGGUUUUAUGUAAAAAUAAGCAGAAAUGCUGCCGAAAUUUUUAUAAAAAAAAAAUGAAGUCAUUUGGUAAACAAACUAAUAAAUUUUAUGAAUUAUUUUAAUAUAUUGGUUAUUUAUUUAAGAAUUGUUGUAAAUCGUUCGAUACGUCCGGUAAUGCCUCGUAAUUCUGUUCCGGCGACGGUUCGGGGUUAAGGGGUGUUACA